RNAcentral lists this long non-coding RNA (1109 nucleotides) under Toxoplasma gondii VEG. Lineage: Eukaryota; Apicomplexa; Conoidasida; Eucoccidiorida; Sarcocystidae. The record is from RNAcentral.
UCUCAGUCUCGAGGUUUCGCUGCUUUCCAGGAUUCCAGCCCCUGCCCUUUCACCUCCGAAACGCGGCGGAGGGCAUCUGUUUCGGCGUCUUCCCCCCCAAAAACAGGUCGACUCACCAAGAAGUGCAGGUGCUCGGGAAGGGGGUGGCGCGGCCGAUGUGAGGGGAGUCCCGGGGAAGGCAAGUUCUUCUCGGCGUUUGACUGCGGUCAAAAAAAAAGCGACUGGUCGACCGUCAAACCACUCGACAAGCAGUGCGCACACAAAUGCAUUCCAGUAUACGCUCCAGCGACAACUGGAAAGGCUGUAGCUCUUUGGGCGGCGAAGGAGGUGACCUUGACCGGCUGCGGUUGCGAGUGUGUUUGUGUUUCUCACUUCAAGCCACGGGUGUUCAUCGCGUUCUUUGCUGAUGCCUCUCGGCUGCUCCAGGCUGCCCCAGCUUUGCAUCACAUUUCCUCGUCAGGUUGGGUCUCCUGUCUUUCUGCAAGUUGCGCACACAAAGGACGCGCUCACAAACGAACCGGGCACCCAUGAGACAGACACUGCCUUCAGCUUCGCUGGACAGCUGCCUCUUUAGAUCGUACAUGAACGGUAUUUUCUAGCAUAUUAUGUGGUGUCAAAAGUGAUUCCGGCAAUGUCUGGAACAGCAACCCAGGAAGUCAGUCCGUUUGCUUUGUGUACAUCCAAAGUCUGCUGUCAGCAGACAAUGUGGCGGAGGUGCCUGCUACCGCAGAAGUCGAGACCACUGCACACUGUGCAUUAGUGUGACAGGGAUGAUCAGGGCAGUCUGGGAUUUUUCUUGGUAGAAUUUGGAGAUAGAUAUUUGCGUGGAUCCAUCCGAGCACGGCAGAACCCUCGAAAAGUGCCCGGAUCUCCCGAGACAGGAGGGGUGGAGUCCCUCCUGCCUGGCCGAUGCUCACUCUCCACCACUUUUCCAGAACGCGGCGUUCGAGUCACUCGCGUGCAUGUUUUUUUCGCUCGAGAAGCCGUUCAUGGAUGGAAGGUGCGCUUGCGUGUGGAGCCAGUGUUGAAUUGUAUUGAUGUGACAAAGUACACGGCGUGUGUGUGAAUGAACUUUUCGGAACCACUGGCAGCGCGGAAGAGAAUGCUCC